RNAcentral lists this small RNA (107 nucleotides) under Marmota monax (woodchuck). Lineage: Eukaryota; Metazoa; Chordata; Mammalia; Rodentia; Sciuridae. The record is from RNAcentral.
GCUGGGUGUACUGGUGCAUGCCUGAAAUCCCAGCUACUCAGAAGGCUGAGGCAGGAGGAUCAUAAAUUUGAGACCAGCUUCAGCAAUUUAGUGAGAUCCUGUCUCAA